RNAcentral lists this non-coding RNA (69 nucleotides) under unclassified sequences. Its description in RNAcentral is "L2-Alphaproteobacteria ribosomal protein leader". It matches the Rfam family "L2-Alphaproteobacteria ribosomal protein leader". The record is from RNAcentral.
GGCCACCUACGGGGGGCUAUCACAUAGCCCCGGAUCAUGUCCGGGGCACUGCUAAACGGAAGACAGAAA